This 46-nucleotide non-coding RNA is filed under the name Trichobilharzia regenti. The record is from RNAcentral. Lineage: Eukaryota; Metazoa; Platyhelminthes; Trematoda; Strigeidida; Schistosomatidae.
GUAUUGCUGAAGAGUCGCAAAUUAAAAUGAAACCGCCGUCCAGUAC